AGUGAACGCUGGCGGCAGGCCUAACACAUGCAAGUCGAGCGGAAGAAGGGAGCUUGCUCGUGGAUUCAGGUGCCGACGGGUGAGUAGUGGCUAAGAAUCUGCCUGUUUGUGUUGUAUAAGGGCAGGAAACGGGGGCUCAUACGGCAUAAGUCCAUACGGAGAAAGGGUGGGAUCAUGGGACCUCCGGAUAUCGCGUGAUCGAAUGAGGCUAUGUCGGAUUAGCUAGUUGGCGGGGUAAAGGCCCACCAAGGCGACGAUCCGUAACUGGUCUGAGAGGAUGAUCAGUCACACUGGAACUGAGACACGGUCCAGACUCCUACGGGAGGCAGCAGUGGGGAAUAUUGGACAAUGGGCGCAAGCCUGAUCCGGCCAUGCCGCGUGUGUGAAGAAGGUCUUCGGAUUGUAAAGCACUUUAAGUUGGGAGGAAGGGCAGUAAGUUAAUACCUUGCUGUUUUGACGUUACCAAAAGAAUAAGCACCGGCUAACUUCGUG
Molecule: ribosomal RNA, 492 nt
Filed under: uncultured bacterium
Lineage: Bacteria
Description: partial 16S ribosomal RNA
Rfam family: Bacterial small subunit ribosomal RNA
Source: RNAcentral